AAAGGAGGAGGAGGACUUGGCUUUAGAGACAUACAUGAUUUCAACAUUGCCAUGCUAGCGCGACAAGUGUGGUGACUGAUUCAGCAGCCCGAUAGUUUGAAUGCACAGCUCCUAGAGGCUAAGUACUAUCCGAACAGUAGUGUUUUGGAAGUGGAACAAACCGGUAAUAUGUCAUAUGCAUGGCGUAGUAUAGCUCACGGAAUUGAUUUGGUGAAGCAGGAUGUGAUCUGGUGGGUUGGAGAUGGGAAAACAUAA
RNAcentral lists this ribosomal RNA (255 nucleotides) under Triticum aestivum (bread wheat). RNAcentral's name for it is "partial small subunit ribosomal RNA". Lineage: Eukaryota; Viridiplantae; Streptophyta; Magnoliopsida; Poales; Poaceae. The record is from RNAcentral.